AGUUAGGAAUACCCGAAGCCUGUGAGCUAACUUUAGAGGCAGCAGUCGAAGGUAGAACUAAUGAUUGGGGUGAAGUCGUAACAAGGUAGC
RNAcentral lists this ribosomal RNA (90 nucleotides) under uncultured bacterium. Its description in RNAcentral is "partial 16S ribosomal RNA". It matches the Rfam family "Bacterial small subunit ribosomal RNA", at positions 1409 to 1500 of the family's 1533-position model. The record is from RNAcentral.